CCCUGACUGGAGAGAAGCCCAGGUUGGCUGCCUACAAUCAGAGUCCACAUAUGUUCGGGGGAGGGACCCCAGAAGGCGGCUGACAGUAUUCCUUUAGCCAGAAAUCCCUUCAGGGAAGAGAAAGGUGCUCCCCUUUGCCUGCUUUUAUACUACAGACUGUUUCCAACUCCAGCUAGAAGUGACUAUUGCCGAUUAUGCUAAUCAGUGGCGACAAGCUCCCUUUGACUGCUCACUUCUCCAGUGAGGCUUCAAGCUUCUAGGCAUCAAGAUUAGUAAGGCUGUCUUCUGGGUGGGCCAGUUUGUUUCUCAGUGACACGAAAACAUUGCCUGGGGUGUGCACUGGUAUUUUCCAGAAAAUAUUUCAAGCAGAAUAUACUUAUUUUCCAGUUUUGAAAACAACUAGAUUGCCCAUCUCCAUUUCUCUCUAUCAUCUACUGUAUUAUUCUAUGGACAACUGCCACCCUAAUAAGGUCAAGAAGGGAAGCCAGAAGUCAAGGCCACAGAAGACACAGGAAACAUCAUUUCCAAAGUGGGAGACAAAGCUGUUAACAGGAAAUUAUUUGUAAAGUCAAGAGCCAAGCAAAACAGAAAAAGGACAAGAAAUCUAUCACCUGUGGGUAUGAAUGGUUCUAGGGAAGUCUGUUGACAAUUGGAGGGUCUCAAAGGCGCUUUAUGGUACUUAUUUUAUGACCCUGAGUCUGGAGUCUGAUGAAUUAAAGAGGAAAUUCUGCUCUGGGCAACAUUUAAGAGAUAGUAUCUCCAGGCAGUAACUUUCGUAUUAACUCUCAUAAGAUUGAUGCCAUUCUGUCAUCUAAAGUGUGGACAAAAGUAGCAUUAAAGCAAAAUGAAAGGAUAUACUAA
This 861-nucleotide long non-coding RNA is filed under the name Homo sapiens (human). RNAcentral's name for it is "MIR4307 host gene". Lineage: Eukaryota; Metazoa; Chordata; Mammalia; Primates; Hominidae. The record is from RNAcentral.